This is an RNA transcript of Populus nigra (black poplar), 4476 nucleotides long. RefSeq lists it as uncharacterized. The transcript has 7 exons. The record is from RefSeq and is a predicted model, not a curated record. NCBI's taxonomy places the organism in Eukaryota, Viridiplantae, Streptophyta, Magnoliopsida, Malpighiales, Salicaceae.
UCCACAUUUCAAUGUUAAGCUCUCUUACUAACUUGUUUUAGUUAAGUUUCUCAUUUUUUCUCCCUCUAAAAACUGUUAACGACACAGCACGUCUUUUGUUUCUUUUUAGUUUAAAGGGAAACAUAUCAUGUCUAGAACCAUUUAUUAGUGUCAGUGGUUAAGUUUCCUUCUCCUUUUGUGUGUUCUUUACGUGUUUCUUUGGGUGCUAGAUAAGCUAAAAAAUCUAAGCUCUUGGCUUUCUUGGGAACCAGAGUGUGAUUGAACUGGGUUUUGGUUCUUGGAUCCGUUUCUUCUGAUUCCUUUGGGAUACGACUUUGGCAAUAAGAGGCUUAUCUGAUAUGCUGGAGCUUUCCAAUUUAUAUCAAAUACUUGGAGACAGAAGAUGAAAACAAAGUUGUCUGCCAUUACUGUGCUUUGUUAGAUUGGAGGCUCAAGAUGGAUGAUACAUUUGCCAAUGCUCAAAAAGAUGGCCUGGGCAAAGAGGAUUCAUUGCAUAGCUUAAGCCAUGAUAGAGAAUUAUCUGGUGACCACGAGCUGGAUUGUUCCCAAUCAAAAUCUAGUAGGCUGACAAGAAGGGUAAAUUCACAUCAUUAUCUGCAUUUAAAAGCUAAGCAACUGCAACGCAGUAAAAGUUGCAUCAAAGAUUCGUUCCUUCGAAGCAUUCAUGUCUUAGACAAUUGGAUUCCAAAGCAUAUAAUAACAAUCGAUGAGAAAUAUCUUCGUCGUUGCCUAGAAUUCAUACAUGCCAGUACUUCUCAAGCGGCUCCAUGCAACGCCUCUAUGUACUUGGAUUGGGGAAACAUGGGUUUUUUCUCUGAUGGCCUGAAUAUAGCUAAAAUUGGGAAUCAAAAUACAUGUAGUUCGGCUGGGUUUGAUUUUGACUGUCCAUUGGCUGGGACCGGGAGUGUAGUCAUUAGCCCUGCAGAACAGUGGAUUGCUGGUUCAAUCAUGGGUAGCAAGAGCAUGGUGAAUAUACUGAAGAGUCCUUUAUUGCGCAGAUAUGGUGCAUAUGAUGGUGAUGCCAAUUUUGAGAAAGUGACUUCCAGCGAUGUUAAAGGAUCAAUAUGUUACGAUUUUAUGAACUCUCCUGGUGGAUUAAGUAGUUAUUCACCACACAAGCUCGAUAAUGGAGCACUAACUCCAGGAAGCCAUAAAUAUGAAUCAGAGAGUUUGCACAAAAGGUUUGUUUCUAUGUCGAGUACAAACUCUACUUGUUCUGAUCAGUCCUCUUCUUCUCUCCCUGCUGCUGUUACUCAGGGGACGCUCCAAUGCACGUGGAAGGGGGGAAACCCACAUUUCAUCUUCUCCUUAGACGAUCAGAAGGUGGUCUACGUGGCCAACUUUUAUAAUGUUAAUUCAGCAGAUGAUAAGGCUCUAGAGUACGUGUAUUUAUUCCAUUCUAGAAAAGGUGGCCAAAGGGAACAUAUGAUUCAUGAUAAAGAGUCUCGCCUUGUAGGUCAGAUGAACGUAUCAACUUCUUUUUCUCUUUGCCCAAACAAUUGUAGAAUCAUGGAGAGAGAAUUUGUUUUGUUCGGUUGUUAUGAAAAUUUAGUGGGAGAGUUGCAAAGUUCAAGCCAUGACCUCAGGAAGAACAAGGGAUUGUCAAGCAGGGUGGUGGAAGUGUUCAGGACCAACAACUCAUUCAAGAAGAGAACUAACUCCAGAUUUGAUGGAUCUGGUGCUAUACUGGAGAAUUCUUCUUGGGAGCCUUUCCAAGAGAGAGAAUACAACAUGGACGCACUUGGUGGGGCCAAUCUCUUAGAAAAUCAUCUUCCACCAAAUCUUGAAUUGGGGGCCAUUUUGGUGAAAAAUCAUCUUCCCGAGAAGCGUCCAGAGAAGACUGGAGGUUGGGGUUUGAAUUUUCUCAAGAACACGGCUGUAACGCAAGCCAAAAAUACAAUGAAAUCCUCAGUACUUUCUGCCUGUUGUGCCCGAGAUACCGGUGAUUGCUCAACAAGCAUUGAUAUUCUCAUUCCAGCUGGUCUUCAUGGAGGUCCAAGGACCAGAAAUGGUGGUCCUUCCAGUCUUAUUGAUAGAUGGAGAUCAGGUGGGUGCUGUGAUUGUGGUGGCUGGGACCUAGGGUGUCCGUUAACAGUACUCAAAAGCAGAUCAGCCAACAAGGAGUUUUCAUCCUCAGCAGAUAUGCAGGGGGAGUGCAAGUUAAUUAAUUUGUUCAUACAGGGUUCAGAGAAUGGUGCUCCCCCCUUGAGGAUGGUGAACGUCCAUGAUGGCAUGUAUUCUGUGCAUUUUCAGUCAACAUUGUCAGCUCUGCAGGCUUUCUCAAUAGCAGUGGCAUUUAUCCAUAGCCAAAAAGUCCUGCACUCCAACCAGAAUAUGUACAGGAGUUAAAGUAGGAAGAUUCAUGUCUCAGCUUGAUGUAGUUGUAACUCUCUUACUGUACCGCAGCGCUUCGUAAAUGGAGGGCAUGUGCUUCUUAAAUGGCUGAAGUCACGUUGCUCCACAAGAGCGCAAGUUAAGCAGUCAAAGUUAUCGAUUUUCAAGUGGAAAUAGCUGGGAUCUUUUUGUGGCUCAUGAUGCUUUAUAUUAUUGCAUGGUUCCCAAUCAUGAAUCUAAACCUGUCAAUGUGCGGAUUGCAGGCCUCUUUCAUUUGCACUUUGGAGUGUAUGUUUAUGCUGCUGGUUCAUCUUCAACCAGGCUUUGUUUUUAUGUAGCCUUGGGUUGGUUGACGUGGUCAGUUCUGCUUUGAAGGUUCAAUAUCUCAAGAUGUUUCCAGGGCAAACUUGAGGAGCUAAUGGCUGGGCUGAUCUCAAAAGCUGGUGGGAAGUGGCACAUGGUUAAAGCCUAAAGAUUCUAUUUCACUCGUUUAAUGAUCUUCUAUUAUUAUAUCUAUGCAGUGUACUCUUUUUUCUGAACGAUCUAGGCAGUGUAUCUCUGUGCAUAUUUUGUUGUUUCUCUGUGGACGCAAGUGAGACUUGUUUCUCUGCUUCUAUAACGUGGCAGGUGAUUUUUGACACGUUCCAUGGUCCUUCAGUGCCUCAAGUUGAAUUUAUUGGUUGUCCACUAAAGAACUGGACAAGUUCUUGCUUUUGUUGACCAUCACAUGCACACACAUAUUUGAGCGCGCGCGCACUUAAAAUACGAUACACCCUGCUGUGUUAUAAUUUAGGAAUAGUUUUUUCUAGCAACAUUUUUUCCUUUGCACAGACACCCUAUAAUGGACCACGGUGACAUUCUGUGUCUUUUAGCAUUGAAAGCAGCUCCCCUGACCUUUUCAUCUCCCCUUGGUAGCUUCUGGAAAAGAAGGUAGCGCUUGGAACUAGGAAAGAAAGUAGUAGGUAGGAGAUUUUGGAGCUGCUUAUCCAUUAAUUAACCAUUUUAACUGUUAUGCUUAACAUGAGUUGACUUCUUUCCUCUCUCUCUUUUUUUUCAUUUGUUUCAUACACCAUUAUAGAUAAACUGCACAACAUUAUAUGAUAAAUAACUUGAAAUUGUUCCAUGAAGCUGAGUUGAUCAUGAGUGAGCUGUGCACAAGCGAACACACAUUGGUUACUGGAACAAUGGAACUGUUUGAGGGGAAAUUACACUGCAAAUCUUCACAAUCAAGGCUCCUUCUGGGCAGUUGGCAUUGAAACAGGGAAAAUAAACCUAUUGUGAUCAGGCUUCCUCAAAAUUGAUGUCCAUUGUCUCAGGCACAGAACCAUCGUGUAUGCAAUAUUGUCAUGACAUUGCAUGCAUCUAAGCUUGCUAUAAUCAUAUCUCAUAUGGUCCUGGCCUCUUGCUAGAGUUUGUCGGAGAAGAAGGGAAACGAUCAUAUCCAAAGGCAGAGAACUGCUACAUAUUAUAUUUGCAAGUGUCUUUUAUCGGUCGUGGUAAAAUGGCCCCAGAAAUUGCUGUCUAGAAUUUAGGUUCAAGUAUUCGAAAUUGCUACCAGCGAGCAUUGCUCGGUCACUGUGUGGAGUUCAAGUCCGUGUUCCUGCACAGCUUGCUAGAUCAUCCAUUCCGCUGCGUGCAUCUUAUGACUAGUUAAAACACAAAUCAUUUAAAGCUAGAUCAUUCUUUCCACAGCAUGAGCUAUAGAUUGACCAAUCCAUUUUCCAUCGGUUUUUGCUGGUCCUUGAGUGAUUGCCCCUGCAUCUGACAAGAUGUAUUUGUGUCUUCCAAGAUCAUGCCGCCUCAGGCUAAACAAUGUUAUACAAAUCAUAAAGAAGGUUCCGAGUAUUCGAAUGCUGGGCAUGUCAAGGCAUUGGGGUCAAAUUUCAUGUAUUGAAAGAAAAAGAGAAAGGACUUGUGAUCUACUAGGCUUUUCCAGUCAUCUUCGUAGUUCUCACGUGUAUGCAAGUUUCGUGUUAGAGGCUUUAGGUCCACCUUUUCACCUGGUCUCGUCGUCUUCCCAUUACUCUUCAACUCUACGCUCUAUCUAUUAGAGAUGAUAAUUUGUAUCUGCUUUUUGGGUAUUUUUAUAUCUAUAUUUUAUUUAUUAUUCAUUGAAUAAAAAAUUUAGAUAUUUAUAAAUUA